UCUCAACUGUAGCUGUCGCUGGGAGAUUUUUUGUGAUUCGCUAGCUCUCGUUGGAAAUGAAUGAGAAAGUGCGUGUAUGAAGUGGCCAAUCGUUAUUCUACCCUAAACAGGUCAACGAAUCAUCAUUAUCCGUUUUUGGUUAGGGAAACUGACAGAUUUCCGAAUGUGUCGUUCCCCGUUCUUCACUUGGAAAACGAGCAUAGUAAACGUAAACGUAGGCGGGGAAAUGGGAGGGGCGGUCGAACGGGGUGCGUUCAUUUAUGUUUCAUGCAGGGCAGCACUUUACCUGGCCAAGUUAACCUCUCCCUGAGCUCGAAUUUCCGAAGAGCCAACGUAUGGACAGAUUCCUAGCAGGAUUACUGGCUAUACAGUCAGUUACAGAUGACUUGCACAAUGUGCUGGAAUUACGGAGUGUGUGUGUGUAUGAUGACAGGCUGGCAGAGAGCUGCAGGUCUAGACAAGCCAGCAGAAUGGAAACAUGGGAGAGGGCCUCAAACAAACUCAGUGCUGGAGAUCACCCUAUGAAUGCUCCAGAUGACCCAUGUUAUGCUGUGGGAGUCCUAUACCAUACCCCCUCCUUCACUGCGAGAACACCCCUUAAACACCUCCUGGGACAUGCUGCUCCCCAUGAAUGAACCAGACAACUCCUGACGAAACUGCUCAACUGAGGUCACUUUUCCCCACAGAAACCUUACCCUGGGCAAGUUUAAACAGAGCCUCUUUAGUCCAACUGAAAAAUUCCAAUAAUGUCUUCAUCUUGUAAAACAUUUGUAAAACUUCAUCUUGUAACUCUUUUGACAAAAGGUUGUCCUAUGUUACAAUGUUAGAUAAUUAAGGCAAUUUUCUUUGGUCUUCAAAUGUAUUAGUUUACUGUUACUAUGCAUGGGUUGGGAAAAGCCUCAGACAGUCAAUGUCUUGUUGAUGUUCUCAGCGUUACUAUAAAACUUUUUAGCACCUCCUCGUUGAGUCAAUCGAAACAUCUCUGCAUCUUUCCCACUUUCCUUUUUCCGAAGAUGACACAAUGUGUUUACACCAG
Molecule: long non-coding RNA, 1036 nt
Organism: Esox lucius (northern pike)
Lineage: Eukaryota; Metazoa; Chordata; Actinopteri; Esociformes; Esocidae
Source: Ensembl